CCUACGGGAGGCUGCAGUGAGGAAUAUUGGUCAAUGGGCGCUAGCCUGAACCAGCCAAGUAGCGUGAAGGAUGACUGCGCUAUGGGUUGUAGACUUCUUUUGUAUGGGAACAAAAUGCAGGAUUUAUACGGCUUUGCAGGUACCUGAUGAAUAAGGAUCGGCUAACUCCGUGCCAGCAGCCGCGGUAAUACGGAGGAUCCGAGCGUUAUCCGGAUUUAUUGGGUUUAAAGGGAGCGUAGGCGGGUUGUUAAGUCAGUUGUGAAAGUUUGCGGCUCAACCGUAAAAUUGCAGUUGAUACUGGCAUCCUUGAGUACAGUAGAGGUAGGCGGAAUUCGUGGUGUAGCGGUGAAAUGCUUAGAUAUCACGCAGAACUCCGAUUGCGAAGGCAGCCUGCUGGGCUGUAACUGACGCUGAUGCUCGAAAGUGUGGGUAUCAAACAGGAUUAGAUACCCUUGUAGUC
RNAcentral lists this ribosomal RNA (460 nucleotides) under uncultured bacterium. RNAcentral describes it as "partial 16S ribosomal RNA". It matches the Rfam family "Bacterial small subunit ribosomal RNA", at positions 338 to 795 of the family's 1533-position model. The record is from RNAcentral.